RNAcentral lists this ribosomal RNA (1115 nucleotides) under uncultured bacterium. Its description in RNAcentral is "bacterial SSU rRNA". It matches the Rfam family "Bacterial small subunit ribosomal RNA", at positions 8 to 1180 of the family's 1533-position model. The record is from RNAcentral.
AGAGUUUGAUCCUGGCUCAGAAUGAACGUUGGCGGCGUGGAUUAGGCAUGCAAGUCGAGCGAGAACCCCGCAAGGGGGGACAGCGGCGAAAGGGACAGUAAUGUGUAGAUUAUCUGCCCUCAGGUCCGGGAUAGCUGCGGGAAACUGCAGGUAAUACCGGAUAACAUCUCCGGAUCAAAGGUGUGAUUCCGCCUGAGGAUGAGUCUACAUCCUAUUAGCUAGUUGGCGAGGUAAUGGCUCACCAAGGCUUUGAUGGGUAGCGGGUGUGAGAGCACGACCCGCGUCAUUGGGACUGAGACACUGCCCAGACACCUACGGGUGGCUGCAGUCGAGAAUCUUCGGCAAUGGGCGCAAGCCUGACCGAGCGACGCCGCGUGUGGGAUGAAGGCCUUCGGGUUGUAAACCACUGUCAGAGGGGAUGAAAUGCAGGUGGGUUCUCCCAUCUGUUUGACAUAGCCUCAGAGGAAGGACGGGCUAAGUUCGUGCCAGCAGCCGCGGUAAGACGAACCGUCCAAACGUUAUUCGGAAUCACUGGGCUUAAAGGGUGCGUAGGCGGCGCGGAAAGUUGGGUGUGAAAUCCCUCGGCUCAACCGAGGAACUGCGCCCAAAACUACCGUGCUCGAGGGAGAUAGAGGUGAGCGGAACUUAGGGUGGAGCGGUGAAAUGCGUUGAUAUCCUAAGGAACACCGGCGGCGAAAGCGGCUCACUGGAUCUCUUCUGACGCUGAGGCACGAAAGCUAGGGUAGCGAACGGGAUUAGAUACCCCGGUAGUCCUAGCCGUAAACGAUGAGCACUGGAUUGGAGGGUCCUCCAUAGCCUUCCAGUCGCAACGAAAGCGUUAAGUGCUCCCCUGGGGAGUAUGGUCGCAAGGCUGAAACUCAAAGGAAUUGACGGGGCUCCCACAAGCGUGAGAUUUGCUUAUCGAGCUACGCGAAGACUUAUUCUAGUCUUGACUGCACGAUUACUCCCUGAAAGGGGAGCAGCUUCGUACAACUGCACAGUGCUGCAUGCUGUCGUCAGCUCAGUCUGAAUUCGUAGUCUACGAGGAACUGACUAUUGCCAGCGCUGGCGGAAUUUAAGAGACGUUGCCGGGUUAAACGCGAAAAUUUGCUGAU